GAACGCUGGCGGUGCGCCUUAUGCAUGCAAGUCGAGCGAAGCUUUUCAGUAGUUUACUACAGAAAAUGACUGAGCGGCGAACGGGUGAGUAACGCGUGAGCAAUCUACCUUAGUUACAGGGAUAGCCCGAGGAAACUCGGAUUAAUACCUGAUAUUCUUUAUUUCUCGCAUGAGAAUAAAAGGAAAGGUCAGCCGAACUAAGAUGAGCUCGCGUUCUAUCAGCUAGUUGGUGAGGUAAAAGCUCACCAAGGCUACGACGGAUAGCUGGUCUGAGAGGACGAUCAGCCACACUGGGACUGAGACACGGCCCAGACUCCUACGGGAGGCUGCAGCAGGGAAUAUUGCGCAAUGAGCGAAAGCUUGACGCAGCGACACCGCGUGUGGGAUGACGGAUCUAGGUUUGUAAACCACUUUCAGGAGGGAAGAAAAUGACGGUACCUCCACAAGAAGCCCCGGCCAA
This 460-nucleotide ribosomal RNA is filed under the name uncultured bacterium. RNAcentral describes it as "bacterial SSU rRNA". It matches the Rfam family "Bacterial small subunit ribosomal RNA", at positions 31 to 500 of the family's 1533-position model. The record is from RNAcentral.